This 493-nucleotide ribosomal RNA is filed under the name uncultured bacterium. Its description in RNAcentral is "bacterial SSU rRNA". It matches the Rfam family "Bacterial small subunit ribosomal RNA", at positions 28 to 507 of the family's 1533-position model. The record is from RNAcentral.
GAUGAACGCUAGCUACAGGCUUAACACAUGCAAGUCGAGGGGAAACGACAGAGGAAGCUUGCUUCCUUUGGGCGUCGACCGGCGCACGGGUGAGUAACGCGUAUCCAACCUUCCCGCAAGUAAGGGGAUAACCCGUAGAAAUGCGGCCUAAUACCCAAUGAUAUCCCACGAAGGCAUCCGAAUGGGAUUAAAGAUUUAUCGGUGAUGGAUGGGGAUGCGUCUGAUUAGCUUGUUGGCGGGGUAACGGCCCACCAAGGCGACGAUCAGUAGGGGUUCUGAGAGGAAGGUCCCCCACAUUGGAACUGAGACACGGUCCAAACUCCUACGGGAGGCAGCAGUGAGGAAUAUUGGUCAAUGGACGCAAGUCUGAACCAGCCAAGUAGCGUGCAGGAUGACGGCCCUAUGGGUUGUAAACUGCUUUUAUGUGGGAAUAAAGUCAGGGACGUGUCCCUGUUUGCAUGUACCACAGGAAUAAGGACCGGCUAAUUCCGUG